This 424-nucleotide ribosomal RNA is filed under the name uncultured prokaryote. Its description in RNAcentral is "bacterial SSU rRNA". It matches the Rfam family "Bacterial small subunit ribosomal RNA", at positions 355 to 776 of the family's 1533-position model. The record is from RNAcentral.
UGAGGAAUAUUGGUCAAUGGACGCAAGUCUGAACCAGCCACGUCGCGUGAAGGAAGACGGCCCUACGGGUUGUAAACUUCUUUUGUAAGGGAAUAAAGUGAGCCACGUGUGGCUUUUUGCAUGUACCUUACGAAUAAGCAUCGGCUAACUCCGUGCCAGCAGCCGCGGUAAUACGGAGGAUGCGAGCGUUAUCCGGAUUCAUUGGGUUUAAAGGGUGCGUAGGCGGGAUAAUAAGUCAGUGGUGAAAGUUUGCAGCUUAACUGUAAAAUUGCCGUUGAAACUGUUAUUCUUGAGAGUAGAUAAGGUAGGCGGAAUGUGUUGUGUAGCGGUGAAAUGCAUAGAUAUAACACAGAACCCCGAUUGCGAAGGCAGCUUACCGGGCUACAUCUGACGCUGAUGCACGAAAGCGUGGGGAUCAAACAGG